Molecule: ribosomal RNA, 542 nt
Filed under: uncultured Basidiomycota
Lineage: Eukaryota; Fungi; Basidiomycota
Description: eukaryotic LSU rRNA
Rfam family: 5.8S ribosomal RNA (bases 161-314)
Source: RNAcentral
CUUGGUCAUUUAGAGGAAGUAAAAGUCGUAACAAGGUUUCCGUAGGUGAACCUGCGGAAGGAUCAUUAGUGAUAAAACUAUUAUCUUAACACCUGUGAACUGUGAACCGAAAGGUUCUUCCAAACAUUGUGUAAUGAACGUAAUACAUUAUAAACAAUACAACUUUCAACAACGGAUCUCUUGGCUCUCGCAUCGAUGAAGAACGCAGCGAAAUGCGAUAAGUAAUGUGAAUUGCAGAAUUCAGUGAAUCAUCGAAUCUUUGAACGCAACUUGCGCUCUCUGGUAUUCCGGAGAGCAUGCCUGUUUGAGUGUCAUGAUCUCUCAACCAAUAGAGUUUUCUAUUGGCUUGGAUCUGGGUGCUGCGAAACAAUCGCUCACCUUAAAGGAGUUAGCAACUAAGCGAUGUCGUCCGACGUAAUAAGUUUCGUCUGGUAAUUCGACUGAGCCGAAUUGCUUCUAAUUGUCUUUUGACUUUUUUGACUCUGGCCUCAAAUCAGGUAGGACUACCCGCUUGGCUUAAGCAUAUCAAUAAGCGGGAAGGA